UUGGAGGGCAAGUCUGGUGCCAGCAGCCGCGGUAAUUCCAGCUCCAAUAGCGUAUAUUAAAGUUGUUGCAGUUAAAAAGCUCGUAGUUGAAUUUCGGGGUUCUUCCGUUGGUCAGGCUAACAAGUCUGUACUAACGUGUAGAAUUCCUACCUUCUGGGGAACCAUCAUGUUAUUAAUUUAGCGUGGUGGGAAACCAGGACCUUUACCUUGAAAAAAUUAGAGUGUUCAAGGCAGGCUUACGUCUGAAUACAUUAGCAUGGAAUAAUAAAAUAGGACGGUGGUCCUGUUUUGUUGGUUUCUGAAUCACCGUAAUGAUUAAUAGGGAUAGUUGGGGGCAUUAGUAUUCAAUUGUCAGAGGUGAAAUUCUUGGAUUUAUUGAAGACUAACUUCUGCGAAAGCAUUUGCCAAGGAUGUUUUCAUUAAUCAAGAACGAAAGUUGGGGGAUCGAAGACGAUCAGAUACCGUCGUAGUCUUAACCAUAAACUAUGCCGACUAGGGAUCGGACGAUGUUAAAUUUUAUUGACUCGUUCGGCGCCUUACGGGAAAC
RNAcentral lists this ribosomal RNA (547 nucleotides) under uncultured Glomeromycotina. RNAcentral's name for it is "SSU rRNA". It matches the Rfam family "Eukaryotic small subunit ribosomal RNA", at positions 548 to 1098 of the family's 1831-position model. Lineage: Eukaryota; Fungi; Glomeromycota. The record is from RNAcentral.